RNAcentral lists this ribosomal RNA (253 nucleotides) under uncultured Solitalea sp. Its description in RNAcentral is "partial 16S ribosomal RNA". It matches the Rfam family "Bacterial small subunit ribosomal RNA", at positions 524 to 776 of the family's 1533-position model. The record is from RNAcentral. Lineage: Bacteria; Pseudomonadati; Bacteroidota; Sphingobacteriia; Sphingobacteriales; Sphingobacteriaceae.
UACGGAGGAUCCAAGCGUUAUCCGGAUUUAUUGGGUUUAAAGGGUGCGUAGGCGGGUUAUUAAGUCAGUGGUGAAAGCCUGCAGCUUAACUGCAGAAUUGCCAUUGAUACUGAUAAUCUUGAGUACAGUUGAGGUGGGCGGAAUGUGUCAUGUAGCGGUGAAAUGCUUAGAUAUGACACAGAACACCGAUUGCGAAGGCAGCUCGCUAAGCUGUAACUGACGCUGAGGCACGAAAGCGUGGGGAUCAAACAGG